GGGUAAACGCUGGCGGCGUGCCUAAAACAUGCAAGUCGAACGCGCACCUUCGGGUGCGAGUGGCAGACGGCUGAGUAACGCGUGGGUGACGUACCUGUUAGUGGGGAAUAACUGCCCGAAAGGGUGGCUAAUUCCGCAUACGCCCAGUUUUUCAGUGGACUGGGGAAAGGCUUCGCAAGCGGCGCUAAUGGAGCGGCCCGCGUUCGAUUAGCUAGUUGGUGGGGUAACGGCCUACCAAGGCGACGAUCGANAGCUGGUCUCAGAGGAUGAUCAGCCAGACUGGGACUGAGACACGGCCCAGACUCCUACGGGAGGCAGCAGUUAGGAAUUUUGGGCAAUGGGCGAAAGCCUGACCCAGCAACGCCGCGU
This 369-nucleotide ribosomal RNA is filed under the name uncultured bacterium. RNAcentral describes it as "bacterial SSU rRNA". It matches the Rfam family "Bacterial small subunit ribosomal RNA", at positions 27 to 402 of the family's 1533-position model. The record is from RNAcentral.